UACGGGGGGGGCAAGCGUUGUUCGGAAUUACUGGGCGUAAAGGGCUCGUAGGUGGCCAACUAAGUCAGACGUGAAAUCCCUCGGCUUAACCGGGGAACUGCGUCUGAUACUGGAUGGCUUGAGUUUGGGAGAGGGACGCGGAAUUCCAGGUGUAGCGGUGGAAUGCGUAGAGAUCCGGAAGAACACCGGUGGCGAAGGCGGCCUGCUGGGCAGUUUAGCUGACACUGAGGCGCGACAGCGUGGGGAGCAAACAGG
This 255-nucleotide ribosomal RNA is filed under the name uncultured bacterium. RNAcentral's name for it is "partial 16S ribosomal RNA". It matches the Rfam family "Bacterial small subunit ribosomal RNA", at positions 524 to 776 of the family's 1533-position model. The record is from RNAcentral.